This is a non-coding RNA of Mycena rebaudengoi, 94 nucleotides long. The record is from the annotation of a GenBank genome assembly. Lineage: Eukaryota; Fungi; Basidiomycota; Agaricomycetes; Agaricales; Mycenaceae.
GACCUAGUGGUGUAGUGGUAGCAUGUCCGCAUCAAGUGGAAGUGGAGCAUAGGACUUGAGCAGAGGGGUCCCUGUUCGACUCAGGGCUGGGUCA